RNAcentral lists this ribosomal RNA (265 nucleotides) under uncultured bacterium. RNAcentral describes it as "partial 16S ribosomal RNA". It matches the Rfam family "Bacterial small subunit ribosomal RNA", at positions 29 to 318 of the family's 1533-position model. The record is from RNAcentral.
AGCGAACGCUGGCGGCAGGCUUAACACAUGCAAGUCGAACGCCCGGGCAACCGGGAGUGGCAGACGGGAGAGUAACACGUGGGAACGUACCCUUCGGUUCGGAAUAACCCAGGGAAACGUUGGGCGUAAUACCGGAUACGUCCGUAAGGAGAAAGAUUCAUCGCCGAGGGAGUCGGCCCGCGUCCGAUUAGCUAGUUGGUGAGGUAAUGGCUCACCAAGGCGACGAUCGGUAGCUGGUCUGAGAGGAUGANCAGCCUCACUGGGA